Molecule: ribosomal RNA, 442 nt
Filed under: uncultured bacterium
Lineage: Bacteria
Description: partial 16S ribosomal RNA
Rfam family: Bacterial small subunit ribosomal RNA
Source: RNAcentral
CCUACGGGAGGCAGCAGUGGGGAAUAUUGCGCAAUGGGCGAAAGCCUGACGCAGCAACGCCGCGUGAAUGAAGAAGGCUUUCGGGUUGUAAACUUCUUUUGUCAGGGAAGAGCAGAAGACUGUACCUGUAGAAUACGCCACGGCUAACUAUGUGCCACCAGCCGCGGUAACACGUAGGUGGCAAGCGUUGUCCGGAAUUACUGGGAGGAAAGGUCGUGUAGCCGGGCGGACAAGUGAGAUGUGAAAUCCGGGGGCUCAACCGCGGAACUGCAUUGGAAACUGUUGGGCUUGAGUAUCGGAGAGGCAAGCGGAAUUCCUAGUGUAGCGGUGAAAUGCGUAGAUAUAUGGAGGAACACCAGUGGCGAAGGCGGUCUCCUGGCCAGUAACUGACGCUGAGGAACGAAAGCGUGGGGAGCAAAUAGGAUUAGAUACCCUAGUAGUC